Molecule: unclassified non-coding RNA, 671 nt
Filed under: Hevea brasiliensis (rubber tree)
Lineage: Eukaryota; Viridiplantae; Streptophyta; Magnoliopsida; Malpighiales; Euphorbiaceae
Source: RNAcentral
AAAAAAUGAAAAGGUUGGAGUUACGUAUUUCACAAAAACAAAAACGAUGAUGCUGCAAAUACUUCUGCCGAAUGCUGAUAUCAUGUAUUACAGCACAACUGCACAGGGUGUUGAAAUAUUAUGAUAACAUUGAUAAGGGCCAACAAGGCCUCUCCUAAUGCAUAUCAGGGAUCAUAUGCACCUGGCACAUGCAAAACAUAUUCACCAAAAACAGAAGAUACAUUUUCAGUGAUAGCUAUUACAAUAGAGGGCAUUCCAUUACAUGUCACCACGUGCUACAUAAAUACUUUUAAAUCAUUUGCCCGGAACACCACAAACAAAAAUCAGGAAGGCAUCCUCAGAUCAAAUAUUUUAUCCAUUCAUCUAUUUGUUUUGAAAAUUUUGCAGCAGAAAGAUCCAAACCUUACUGACCCAAAUCCCAACCCACCAGUACCACCUGGAGAAACUUCAAGCUUUAACAAGCAUAUUCACCAACUUCAUUUUCCUCUUCUCAAGUCCAUGACAAUUGAGAUGUAGGUACAAGGAGACGUUUAUUAGAGUGAUGGACCAGAACAUUUUGGGAACCAGAUCUCAAUACAUUUUAACUAAAUGUGAAAAUCUAGUCAUCUUCCUCAAGAAGAGAAAGAUCAUUAAUAAGUGACAAAAAAACAUGAUGUUUAAGUAAGCCAACC